AGACUCUUGUUUUGGCACGGGAGACUCGCUCUCUCGUUGCUGUUGACAGAGUGUGUGCGGGCAUUGUUGGGAAUGUUGCGCUUGCCGCUUGGCGCACACCACCGGGGAGAUGCUGGCGACAGGGCUGCAAACGGCCCGUCUUGAAACACGGACCAAGGAGUCUAACAUGUGCGCGAGUGUUUUAGCGAGCAUGAAGCUAGGGCGCGCAAUGAAAGUGAGAGGUGGGAUGCAGUGUUGGCAAGUGUGCGUGAGUACACUUUUAUCUGGCACUCGCAGCACCAUCGACCGAUCUGGAUUGGGGGAGGGGGAAAAGCACUUUUGUGUGGCUCCACCUCCUCCGCUGAAGGAUUUGCGUUUUAGCGCAGAUGUUAGGACCCGAUAGAUGGUGAACUAUGCCUGAGUAGGGCGAAGCCAGAGGAAACUCUGGUGGAGGCUCGUAGCGAUCAUGACGUGCAAAUCUGUCGUCGAACUUGGGUAUAGGGGCGAAAGACUCAUCGAACCAUCUAGUAGCUGGUUCCCACCGAAGUUUCCCUCAGGAUAGCUGAGACUUUUUUUGCAAUGUGGUUAGUUUUAUCUGGUAAAGCGAAUGAUUAGAGGCCUUGGGGGAGCCACUUCCCUCAACCUAUUCUCAAACUUUAAAUGGGUAAGGCGGCGCGCUUUCUUUGUUUAUGAAGCGGGCAAUGCUGAAUAACCGAGUCUCAAGUGGGCCAUUUUUGGUAAGCAGAACUGGCGAUGCGGGAUGAACCGAACGCGGAGUUAGGGUGCCGGAAUCGACGCUCAUGAGAACCCACAAAAGGUGUUGGUUGAUAUAGACAGCAGGACGGUGGCCAUGGAAGUCGGAAUCCGCUAAGGAGUGUGUAACAACUCACCUGCCGAAUCAACUAGCCCUGAAAAUGGAUGGCGCUCAAGCGUCGUACCUAUACUCCGCUGUGUGUGGAAGAAAGUGAGCGAAGCGAGCAUUCGUGCUUGUUGCGUCUCAAAACUACAUGUAGCCACACACAAGUAGGUGGGCGUGGAGGUGUUUGCGUGAGAGCAAAUUUUUGAUUUACCGUUGAAGCCUGUGGCGUGAGCCUGGGUGGAGGGGCCUCCAGUGCAGAUCUUGGUGACAGUAGCAACGAUUCAAAUGAGAGCUUUGAAGACUGAAGUGGAGCAAGGUUCCGUGGGAACAGCAGUUGGCCACGGGUGAGUCGGUCCUAAGAGAUGGGGCAGUCCUGUGUCAAGUGGGGAGUUGUUGCGUGUGUGCAGGUGGUGGUGAUAUUCUCGCCAUGCUUGCGCACGUGUUGAUUACCCCAGUCCAUCGAAAGGGAACCAGGUUAAGAUUCCUGGACCAACGCACGCCACAAAGAAUGUUUUGAUAGAGCAGCGGCAACGCGUACAAACUCGGAGACGCUGCCGGGGGCCCUGGAAAGAGUUUUCUUUUCUUUUUAACGAGCUGCAUUGUGGGGGGGAGUAGG
Molecule: ribosomal RNA, 1454 nt
Organism: Salpingoeca sp.
Lineage: Eukaryota; Choanoflagellata; Craspedida; Salpingoecidae
Rfam family: Eukaryotic large subunit ribosomal RNA
Source: Rfam